UACGAAGGGGGCUAGCGUUACUCGGAUUGACUGGGCGUAAGGGCGCGUAGGCGGCUUGUACAGUCAGACGUGAAAUUCCUGGGCUCAACCUGGGGGCUGCGUUUGAUACGUAUGGGCUUGAGUUCGGAAGAGGGUCGUGGAAUUCCCAGUGUAGAGGUGAAAUUCGUAGAUAUUGGGAAGAACACCGGUGGCGAAGGCGGCGACCUGGUCCGAUACUGACGCUGAGGCGCGAAAGCGUGGGGAGCAAACAGG
RNAcentral lists this ribosomal RNA (252 nucleotides) under uncultured bacterium. RNAcentral describes it as "partial 16S ribosomal RNA". It matches the Rfam family "Bacterial small subunit ribosomal RNA", at positions 524 to 776 of the family's 1533-position model. The record is from RNAcentral.